RNAcentral lists this ribosomal RNA (119 nucleotides) under Salmo salar (Atlantic salmon). The record is from RNAcentral. Lineage: Eukaryota; Metazoa; Chordata; Actinopteri; Salmoniformes; Salmonidae.
GCUUACGGCCAUACCAGCCUGGGUACGCCCGAUCUCGUCUGAUCUCGGAAGCGAAGCAGGGUCGGGCCUGUUUAGUACUUGGAUGGGAGACCGCCUGGGAAUACCAGGUGCUGUAAGGA